RNAcentral lists this ribosomal RNA (991 nucleotides) under Bacillus subtilis. RNAcentral describes it as "bacterial SSU rRNA". It matches the Rfam family "Bacterial small subunit ribosomal RNA", at positions 65 to 1035 of the family's 1533-position model. The record is from RNAcentral. Lineage: Bacteria; Bacillati; Bacillota; Bacilli; Caryophanales; Bacillaceae.
AGCGGACAGAUGGGAGCUUGCUCCCUGAUGUUAGCGGCGGACGGGUGAGUAACACGUGGGUAACCUGCCUGUAAGACUGGGAUAACUCCGGGAAACCGGGGCUAAUACCGGAUGGUUGUUUGAACCGCAUGGUUCAAACAUAAAAGGUGGCUUCGGCUACCACUUACAGAUGGACCCGCGGCGCAUUAGCUAGUUGGUGAGGUAACGGCUCACCAAGGCAACGAUGCGUAGCCGACCUGAGAGGGUGAUCGGCCACACUGGGACUGAGACACGGCCCAGACUCCUACGGGAGGCAGCAGUAGGGAAUCUUCCGCAAUGGACGAAAGUCUGACGGAGCAACGCCGCGUGAGUGAUGAAGGUUUUCGGAUCGUAAAGCUCUGUUGUUAGGGAAGAACAAGUACCGUUCGAAUAGGGCGGUACCUUGACGGUACCUAACCAGAAAGCCACGGCUAACUACGUGCCAGCAGCCGCGGUAAUACGUAGGUGGCAAGCGUUGUCCGGAAUUAUUGGGCGUAAAGGGCUCGCAGGCGGUUUCUUAAGUCUGAUGUGAAAGCCCCCGGCUCAACCGGGGAGGGUCAUUGGAAACUGGGGAACUUGAGUGCAGAAGAGGAGAGUGGAAUUCCACGUGUAGCGGUGAAAUGCGUAGAGAUGUGGAGGAACACCAGUGGCGAAGGCGACUCUCUGGUCUGUAACUGACGCUGAGGAGCGAAAGCGUGGGGAGCGAACAGGAUUAGAUACCCUGGUAGUCCACGCCGUAAACGAUGAGUGCUAAGUGUUAGGGGGUUUCCGCCCCUUAGUGCUGCAGCUAACGCAUUAAGCACUCCGCCUGGGGAGUACGGUCGCAAGACUGAAACUCAAAGGAAUUGACGGGGGCCCGCACAAGCGGUGGAGCAUGUGGGUUUAAUUCGAAGCAACGCGAAGAACCUUACCAGGUCUUGACAUCCUCUGACAAUCCUAGAGAUAGGACGUCCCCUUUCGGGGGCAGAGUGAC